GAGGCAUUGGUCUUCCCAGGGAAGACAAGAUGUGUGCCAUGGCAGUCUCAUAUGAGGGAAAAUCAGUCUUCAUGAAUCAAGUCAGUAAAGAGGAAGGUGGAAAGAAGGAAGCUGCAUUUUAUUUCAUAUUUAACAGCAGGAUUGCUGAAAACAUAAAUAUUUUAAUUUUUAGGCACACAUUUUAAAGAAAAAAAGUAGUUAAUCUCCCGAGGAAACAAGAAAUAUUCUGUAUGGGUUUUCCCUCUUCAUUCUCUUUGCCCUUCCUGUCAAGGAACUGCAUACCAACCUGCUUCUGGCCCAUUGUGCCCUCAUCCCUCCUGACUAUACUCUCAUUUUUAUGACCCAAACAGCAGUCCCAAAAGCUCCUUUCUCAGGGGCUUGUGACAUGUAUCUGGGCUGUGACUCACCUGCAGCACUCCGGGCAUCGUGUUGGUUGGUGACAGUAAGGACACCCUGUCUUACAGCAAGCAGAGCCUAACUGAGGAACUCGUGAUGUGAGCCCUAGGCAGGAGCUGGACGUGGGCAGCAGCAGCAGGAGCAGCCUGGUGUGGAGCUUCCUGGAGAACACCCACAGUUUUACAAAGCAAUAGCACACCUCAGAAGAGAUGCUUGAUUUCAAGAAAGAAAACUAUCCACGGCAGGUUGAAGCCACAGGGGCAGUCCUGACUUGCCUUUCUCCAUCCAACUACUUUACUUCAGAAAGUGUCCCUUCAAAAAACAGCAACUCCCAGGGAUCAGUGCCUAACACGAUGCUGUGGUCUUGCUGAGCCCUUGCCGACCCUUGGCAGCGAGGCUGUGCCGAGCAGGAGGAUUGCAGUGAACCUCUUCCCAUGCCCCAAAUGCUGAGUGUGGCAAAACCCUCUGGGAGGGUAACACAGUGGGUGAUUGAUUGUACCCGCCAGCUGGCUAAUAUCAUAAUUAACAAAGUUGCUACCAUGUCUGAGAAGUUUAAUCGAAAAAAUUGCCGGCAGUAUGAUGCCAUUGUCACAGAGAUCACAAGCGCAGCAGUGUUGACUUUUGUACUGGUGGAGCCGCAGGACUAUGUAGAUGUGCUGAAAAGUCGUUCGCUGGGAUAA
RNAcentral lists this long non-coding RNA (1076 nucleotides) under Cyanistes caeruleus (blue tit). RNAcentral describes it as "lncRNA (ENSCCEG00000011779.1)". The stretch from base 880 to 1076 matches the Rfam family "Rhabdomyosarcoma 2 associated transcript conserved region 6". The record is from RNAcentral. Lineage: Eukaryota; Metazoa; Chordata; Aves; Passeriformes; Paridae.